CGGCGGGGACCCGGGGGGGGGGUGGGGGUGGGGGGUCCGAGGUCUGCGGGGCACCGGGGUGAGGCUCCGAGCACGACGCAGUCCAGGGGAGGGUCCGGGCUCGGUGCAGCCCCCGGGACGGAUCGGUGCAGCCCGGGGCGGGGGGCGGGGGGGGGUCUGGGCUCGCUGCGGGCUCCGGAGCAGGGUCGCUGGAGGGCGGCUGUUGUCCGGGCUCAGCGCGGCUCUGGGGAGGCGGCUCCUCCGCCCUCCUUGGCCGAGAGCGAGUGGCCGCGUGGCCCCGGCUGCCCGCGCGGCCCUGGCCCAUCGUGGGCUCGGGGAGAGGGGCACAGUCAGACCCUAGCGCCAGCCUAAAUUACGGUGAGUGAACCUUGCGUCGCGAGGGGCUGUGUGGGGCCCGAAAAGAGCGCCCAGGCGGGCCGGUGAGAAGUACGCAGGAUACGCAGUCCUGCUGGUUAAAGGGACAAUUAUUUGUUUGUUGGCAAAAGCAUUUUACACCGUUUUCGUUUCCAGUGGGUCGGAGGAAGGCGGUUUAUUACCGAGGGGUAGGACGGGCCGUUGAUGCGUCGGCUGACUUGCCCACACCAGAUCAGCGUGUUCACCUCUGGAGAACUCAGGGCCCAGAGAAAAUCAGGAAAACCUCAAUCAUGAGAAAGACAUCACACCCAAAUUGAGAGACGUUCUAGCACACACCUGACUGGUGGUCUUCAUGAGUCUCAAGGUCAUGAAAGACCAAGAAAGACGGGAUUGGAGGAGAGUGAGGAGACACAACAGGACAGUUCAAUACAGUUGGCUCUCCUGGGUCAGCUUCGGGACCAGAGAACGGACGUUAAUGGGAAAACUGGUGGAUUCAGGGCAUCCUUACGGCAAAACACCUCUGAGAUCGCCCAGCCUGACGCCCUCCGUUAUCCUGACAAAUGCGAAAAAAGUAAGCUACCUAAAGUUACCUGACUUCCUAGCGCCUGGGCCCGUAUGGGAACGCCAACGCUGUUCUUUCGUUCUGCAAGUGUCCAAACAAUCACCCAAAGGAUUAGAAAAUUGUCGGAAUAAUUGUUUUAAAUGUUCGCCUAGUGAACAUUUGCUCUGCCUCCGGCAGGUUCCAGGUCCUGGGGUGACAACCGCCUGCUAGCAGCUCGGAGCCCGGGGGGACUCCACUUUGGGGCUGGAAGAGACCUGUUAUCCGGCGCCCGGGGCCUCUUCCCGAGCACGGCCAGCGCACAGACGGCAGUCAAGGGGAUUUUCCAUCCGAAGGGUUGCCCAAGAAAGCCGGCUUCUGUCCCCACAGUGUCAAGUGCAGAGUCAUGCCCAGCACACGCUGUCAUGGCCUAAUGCAGGGAACAGGCUGCUCCUUCUCUCCCCCUCCUCCCCCUCCGCCUUUGCACACGCACACGUUUCCCACGCGCCCUCACCGCCUCCCUUCCCAGGAUCUUCGUGACCCUCAGCAACGAGGCACUCUCCAACGACCGCUUUUGUUAGGACAGUGGUCACUGUGUGGCACGUAGCAUAUCAUCUGACAUAUACUCAACUUCUCAGCUAAAGAGCGUGAAAAAAAGGAGUAACUGACAAAUCCAGCUAGAAGAUCAGAGGUUGGGGCGCUUGGGUGGCUCAGUCGGUCGAAUGUCUGACUUGGGCUCAGGUCACGAUCUCACGGUUCGUGGGUUCGAGCCCCGCGUCGGGCUCUGUGCGACAGCUCAGAGCCUGGAACCUGCCUCAGAUUCUGUGUCUUCCUCUCUCUCUGCCCCUCCUCUACUCGUGCUCUGUCUCUCUAUCAACAAUAAAUAAGCAUUAAAAAAAAAAGAUUACAGGUUUUUUAGCCAUAAAAAGCUAAAAUUAAAAGAAGGAGAGAAUUCACAGUAGCUAAAACACGGAAGCAACGCCAGCACCCCUCAGCUGAGGAAUGGGUCACCGAAACGUGGUCCAUACAUACACCAGAAUACUACUCAGCCUUAAAAAGGAAGGACGUUCUGACACCUGCCACAACGUGGAUGAACCUUCAGGACACGAGGCUCAGUGAGCUAAGCAAGUCACGAGAAGACAAAUACUGUUUAACCCCAUCUACACAAAGUGGUCACAAUAGUCAAACCCAUAAAGACAGAAAGUAGGGUGGUGGCUACCACGAUCCGGGGUGGGGGGGUGCAGAGUCCUGGGGGUGGAUCCUGGUGACGUCCCACAACAGUGCGACUAUUUAAUACUGUUGAUGUGCACGCUUAGAAAUGGUUAAGCCCGUACCUUUUACGUUACGUGUAUUUUAACAGAAUAAAAAAAAAAAAACAAAAAAA
Long non-coding RNA from Neofelis nebulosa (Clouded leopard), 2276 nucleotides. RefSeq lists it as uncharacterized. The transcript has 3 exons. The record is from RefSeq and is a predicted model, not a curated record. Lineage: Eukaryota; Metazoa; Chordata; Mammalia; Carnivora; Felidae.